This 1088-nucleotide ribosomal RNA is filed under the name uncultured bacterium. RNAcentral's name for it is "bacterial SSU rRNA". It matches the Rfam family "Bacterial small subunit ribosomal RNA", at positions 66 to 1159 of the family's 1533-position model. The record is from RNAcentral.
GCUGAAGCCUGGUGCUUGCACCGGGUGGAUGAGUGGCGAACGGGUGAGUAACACGUGAGUAACCUGCCCCUGACUUCGGGAUAAGCCCGGGAAACUGGGUCUAAUACCGGAUACGACCGUCGGACGCAUGUCUGGUGGUGGAAAGUUUUUUCGGUUGGGGAUGGGCUCGCGGCCUAUCAGUUUGUUGGUGAGGUAAUGGCUCACCAAGACGACGACGGGUAGCCGGCCUGAGAGGGCGACCGGCCACACUGGGACUGAGACACGGCCCAGACUCCUACGGGAGGCAGCAGUGGGGAAUAUUGCACAAUGGGGGAAACCCUGAUGCAGCGACGCAGCGUGCGGGAUGACGGCCUUCGGGUUGUAAACCGCUUUCAGCAGGGAAGAAGCGCAAGUGACGGUACCUGCAGAAGAAGUACCGGCUAACUACGUGCCAGCAGCCGCGGUAAUACGUAGGGUACGAGCGUUGUCCGGAAUUAUUGGGCGUAAAGAGCUCGUAGGUGGUUGGUCACGUCUGCUGUGGAAACGCAACGCUUAACGUUGCGCGUGCAGUGGGUACGGGCUGACUAGAGUGCAGUAGGGGAGUCUGGAAUUCCUGGUGUAGCGGUGAAAUGCGCAGAUAUCAGGAGGAACACCGGUGGCGAAGGCGGGACUCUGGGCUGUAACUGACACUGAGGAGCGAAAGCAUGGGGAGCGAACAGGAUUAGAUACCCUGGUAGUCCAUGCCGUAAACGUUGGGCACUAGGUGUGGGGGGGCAUUCCACGUUCUCCGCGCCGUAGCUAACGCAUUAAGUGCCCCGCCUGGGGGAGUACGGUCGCAAGGCUAAAACUCAAAGGAAUUGACGGGGGCCCGCACAAGCGGCGGAGCAUGCGGAUUAAUUCGAUGCAACGCGAAGAACCUUACCAAGGCUUGACAUACACCAGACCGUCCUGGAAACAGGUCCUCUUCUUUGAAGCUGGUGUACAGGUGGUGCAUGGUUGUCGUCAGCUCGUGUCGUGAGAUGUUUGGGUUAAGUCCCGCAACGAGCGCAACCCUCGUUCUAUGUUGCCAGCACGUGGAUGGUGGGAACUCAUAGGAGACUGCCGGGGUC